AUCACUUCUUGGCCUUCUGGAUAAGAUCAAGUGUAGUGUCUGUUCUUGUUAGUUUAACAAUAGGCUUCCUCAGAGGGGUAAUUACAAUUAAUUAAAAUUGUAAAAUCAUACAUGGUUGGUCUCCUGUCCAGUUGCUGCCGGUAAGCAGUGUGCUCCCCAGUUUGUGGAGGGCCCCAUCCUUGGGGAGGAUGACU
This is a small nuclear RNA of Otolemur garnettii (small-eared galago), 194 nucleotides long. Its record names the gene U2. It matches the Rfam family "U2 spliceosomal RNA". From Rfam's summary of the family: U2 is a small nuclear RNA (snRNA) component of the spliceosome (involved in pre-mRNA splicing). Complementary binding between U2 snRNA (in an area lying towards the 5' end but 3' to hairpin I) and the branchpoint sequence (BPS) of the intron results the bulging out of an unpaired adenosine, on the BPS, which initiates a nucleophilic attack at the intronic 5' splice site, thus starting the first of two transesterification reactions that mediate splicing. NCBI's taxonomy places the organism in Eukaryota, Metazoa, Chordata, Mammalia, Primates, Galagidae. The record is from Ensembl.